This 345-nucleotide unclassified non-coding RNA is filed under the name soil metagenome. RNAcentral's name for it is "partial contains 5.8S ribosomal RNA, internal transcribed spacer 2, and large subunit ribosomal RNA". The stretch from base 1 to 120 matches the Rfam family "5.8S ribosomal RNA", at positions 35 to 154 of the family's 154-position model. The record is from RNAcentral.
GAUGAAGAACGUAGUGAAAUGCGAUACGUAAUGUGAAUUGCAGAAUUCAGUGAAUCAUCGAGUCUUUGAACGCACAUUGCGCCCCCUGGUAUUCCGGGGGGCAUGCCUGUCCGAGCGUCAUUGCUGCCCUCAAGCACGGCUUGUGUGUUGGGCCUCCGUCCUCCUCCCGGGGGACGGGCCCGAAAGGCAGCGGCGGCACCGCGUCCGGUCCUCGAGCGUAUGGGGCUUCGUCACCCGCUCUUGUAGGCCCGGCCGGCGCUUGCCGACACAUCAAUCUUUUUUCCAGGUUGACCUCGGAUCAGGUAGGGAUACCCGCUGAACUUAAGCGUAUCAAUAAGCGGAGGA